This 2069-nucleotide unclassified non-coding RNA is filed under the name Hevea brasiliensis (rubber tree). The record is from RNAcentral. Lineage: Eukaryota; Viridiplantae; Streptophyta; Magnoliopsida; Malpighiales; Euphorbiaceae.
UUUCCUUCUCAUUCUUCGUGUCAAUUACCCUAUUCUUUGCAAUCUGAAUCUCAUUUGACAUUCCCAAAAUACACUGUACAUUGUUGUCACAUUCCUCUUCAAAUUUUUGGGUCAAAGCUUCUACUCCUGUCAAAGUACCGUUUACUUUCACUGAAAUAUCUGUGACCAUCCUCUUACAAGCUUCAUUGGUAGCAGCUAUUAUCCCAGACAACGUAGCAAUCCUUUCCUCCAGCACUCUCAGCUCUUGCUGAUAACUUGCUUCUGCUUUCCUAGAGCUCUCUUCCUUCUCAGCUAGUAAUUGUUCCGUGACCCGGAGCUUCUGGUUCGACAACCGGAGCUUAACUUCAAUAUUGCGGACAUUCUCAACCAACGUAUUCAAAUCAUCUCCUUUUACUUCAAGAUCUCUUUUCAGGUCCUCAAUUGUUUCUUCCAUUUCAGCAACUAUCUGAUCUUUGGAAUCAGUAUUCUUCUGGAAUUCUUCUGCCAUUUCUUCUACUUUCCUUUCAACUGCUUUGAUGUUUUCCUUGCUCUCCUGGAACCAACCUUCCACUUGCUUGUACUCCUCACUCAGCUUCUUGUAUGCCUCCUCCUGUUCCGCCAGCAUUUUUUGCUGAUCUGCAAUUUUGCUUAUGAACUGAGACUUCUGAUUUUCCAUUUCUGUCUGGCUUUCUGAAAAUAUUUGUUUCUCUUUCUCAAGCUGCAACUGCAAUUGAUUUUUCUCAGCCAGUAAGGAAUCUAAUUCCAGUUGCAGAUUGUCAGCCUGUAAAGUCAAGGCCAUUAUCUGAGCAGAAGCUUCAGUCUCUCCUUUUUCUUGUCUCUCCUGGAGCGCAGAGAACUCUAGCCCUCUCUCUGUUGAUGUUCUUUCCAAUUCAAAAAUUUUAUUCUGUAACCCAAGCAUUUCCUCUUCUAACCUCCCCCUUUCUUUGAUUUCAGUUCUUACUUGCUCUUCAAGAUCAAUUUUCUGGUUGUGUAAAUUCUCCACCUUCAAUUCCAGAUUUUUCAUUUGCACUGUCAAGUUUUCUCUCUCCCCAAGCAUUCUCUGAUAAUCUUCAGUCUUGUGUGCUAUCUCCUCUUUCAGAUUUUCCAUCUGAAGCUGAACCAGGAAAGUUUCUUGAGUUUUUUUCUCCAGUUGCACUUCCAGUUCAGCUUUCUCAUUUUGCAAGGACUCCAGUUGCUGUUGUAACUCACUAACUUGAUCUAUGAGACCCUUGACUUGAAUUGAUGCUUCAUUUCCCUUAAUUAUCAUAUGUUCUUCCAACUCUGCUUUCUGUGUGUGUAAAGAUUCCAAGUCUGCUAGAAGAGUGUUGACUUGUGAUGUCAGGCUUUCGACUCUAGACAAUGAUUCUUUCUCAUUAACAUCAAGUUUCUUUGUGAGAGCAGACAGUUCAUCUCCUCUCUCUUUUGACAUCAUUUCAAGUUCUGAAAUUUGGGCCUUUAGUAUUAAGUUAUCUUCUUUCACUCCUUUUACUUCAGACACUUUGCUGUCAAUCUGCACCUCCAUAUCUCUAUUCUGGGCUCUCAAUGACUCCAGCUCCAGUUCCAGGCCAGUCACUUGAGCCUUUAAUUGCUCUAUCUGAGCUGAUGAUUCAUUACCAUGUGCCUUGUGCGUCUCUGCAAGAGAUGACAACUCCCUUUCCUUCUCAAUCAAUUUCUCCUUUAGUUGACCUGAUUCAGACAGGAGUUCUGGUAUUGUAUUAUGUGCCAGCUGAAUCUCAUUUGAAAUUUCUGAAACUUUUAAGGUUAGAGAAGCAUUCUCUUCACAAGCAACUUCCAAACUGUGAUUAAGAUCUGAUAUCAUCUGCUCUGUAGAUUCCAGUUGCUGCCUCCUGCUGGAAAGUUCCUCUCUAAGAAUUUCUAUUUCUUGCCCCAGCCUUGUUUUCUCAUCCUGCAAUUGACCAGCCAAGAUUCUCAAGUCCUCAGUGGUCUUCUCUAUCUCUUCAAUUCUUCUCAAAGCAGUCUCUUUCUCCGUGAGCAGGCUGUCUUUCUCUCUAGUCAUAUCUUCCAAUCUUGAAUCCUGUACCAAAAUUGACGAGGUAAGAGAUUUAUUUUCUUCCUCAGAAUGUGUCAAU